GUGACCGUAGCUCAAGCGAGAAGAGCGCCGGGAUGUGGCCCCGGAGGUGCGGGUUUGAGCCCCGCCGGUCACCCCA
This 76-nucleotide transfer RNA is filed under the name Rubrobacter sp. Its description in RNAcentral is "tRNA-His". It matches the Rfam family "tRNA". From Rfam's summary of the family: Transfer RNA (tRNA) molecules are approximately 80 nucleotides in length. Their secondary structure includes four short double-helical elements and three loops (D, anti-codon, and T loops). The record is from RNAcentral. RNAcentral also lists the same sequence under 2 other names. Lineage: Bacteria; Bacillati; Actinomycetota; Rubrobacteria; Rubrobacterales; Rubrobacteraceae.